Mus musculus (house mouse) is the source of this 969-nucleotide long non-coding RNA. RefSeq annotates it as predicted gene, 40160. Lineage: Eukaryota; Metazoa; Chordata; Mammalia; Rodentia; Muridae. The transcript has 2 exons. The record is from RefSeq and is a predicted model, not a curated record.
CCUUCCCCCAGUGCUUUCACAAACCAUCUAAGGUUUGGCUGUGGGUCUCUGCAUCUGUUGUGGUCAACUGCUGGGUGGAAGUUCUCAGAGAACAGUCUCCUGUCGGUGAAUCCAGGUUGAUGAACACAAACAUAACCUGAGGCUCCAAUGGGAGGAACACAGGUCAGAAAUGUGUUGGUAUAGAUCUUCUGAGGACAGCUCAGCACUUUACCCCAAAACUGGCAGGUGUUUUUUCUGCAUUCAUUUCUGUCCAUUUCACACAGGACACCUGUGUAUCCAGGACAGCAGUGACAAAUACAGCUGUCAAAAGUAUCUUCACAUCUUGCAUCACUAUGACAAGGCUUUGACCAACAAAGAGGCAUCAGAGUCUCACAAUGUGUCCCUGUGAAUUUACUAACAGUGUAGACACUACUGUAAUUCUUCCCUCCUUCCCAACAUAGAUCUCCAUGGAGACAUGGCUGACUGGCACAUUCAUCAGAAUUGAGUUCACAGUGGUCUCCAAGGAAUCCAGGUGCAGAGUCACAGAAGUGAGCCCCAAGAGCAUCCUGACACACAUUACCACGUAGACAUCAUCAAUUUCCAACUCACAGUUCACACCAGAAUACUCUUGAGGAUAGACACACGUGUGUAUCUUCCUAUCACCUUGAGACAUACAGCCUCAUUCAUGCAGGGAUCAGAAAUACUUCCAUCCAACUCCAACUCACCAUGCCUGCUUUGGUAUCCAGGCAAAGAGAUGCAGCAGGUACCAUGGUUUCCUUCCUGGCACAGAGCUCCAUUGUGCAGGUCACACUGUCACCAUUUACAAAGGACAUUUGAGGCACAGAAGGGUGACAAUCUUGUCCCAAAUCACAGCUGUUAUGUGGAGAAACUUCACUGGAUCCUAGCACCUUGGUCUGGCUGCGAAGACACUCUUCAUCUCAUACCCGCUGCCUCUGGUCAAUAAAUGUUGUCUGAAUGCUGACUAAGCUA